This is a non-coding RNA of Burkholderiales bacterium 70-64, 117 nucleotides long. The record is from Rfam. Lineage: Bacteria; Pseudomonadati; Pseudomonadota; Betaproteobacteria; Burkholderiales.
CGCGUUUUUCGCCCAGGCGGAGCUCGACCGCCGUCUGAAGUAGCGAUGGCAUUCAUCGACGAGAACAGGAGCUGUUACGGGGUCGAGCCGAUCUGCAGGAUCCUGCAGAUUGCUCCG